RNAcentral lists this ribosomal RNA (749 nucleotides) under uncultured bacterium. RNAcentral's name for it is "bacterial SSU rRNA". It matches the Rfam family "Bacterial small subunit ribosomal RNA", at positions 56 to 816 of the family's 1533-position model. The record is from RNAcentral.
UGCAAGUCGAACGAGACCUUCGGGUCUAGUGGCGCACGGGUGCGUAACGCGUAGGCAAUCUACCCGAUACAGGGGAAUAACACGGGGAAACUCGUGCUAAUACCGCGUAAUAAAUGAGAAGGCAUCUUCUUAUUUUAAAAGCUUCGGCGGUAUCGGAAGAGCCUGCGUCCUAUUAGCUAGUUGGUAAGGUAACAGCUUACCAAGGCGACGAUAGGUAGGGGAACUGAGAGGUUGAUCCCCCACACUGGUACUGAGAUACGGACCAGACUCCUACGGGAGGCAGCAGUGAGGAAUAUUGGUCAAUGGACGGAAGUCUGAACCAGCCAUGUCGCGUGUCGGAAGACGGCCCUCUGGGUUGUAAACGGCUUUUCUUUGGGAAGAACACGCUCUUGCGAGAGCAACUGACGGUACCAAAGGAAUAAGCACCGGCUAACUACGUGCCAGCAGCCGCGGUAAUACGUAGGGUGCAAGCGUUGUCCGGAUUUAUUGGGUUUAAAGGGUGCGUAGGCGGCUAUUUAAGUCGUGGGUGAAAGCCCGUCGCUUAACGACGGAAUUGCCUGCGAUACUGGAUAGCUUGAGUAUCGUUAAGGUUGGCGGAAUGGGAGGUGUAGCGGUGAAAUGCAUAGAUACCUUCCAGAACACCGAUUGCGUAGGCAGCUGACUAGGCGAUAACUGACGCUGAGGCACGAAAGCGUGGGGAGCGAACAGGAUUAGAUACCCUGGUAGUCCACGCCGUAAACGAUGAUGAC